This 3381-nucleotide long non-coding RNA is filed under the name Marmota monax (woodchuck). Lineage: Eukaryota; Metazoa; Chordata; Mammalia; Rodentia; Sciuridae. The record is from RNAcentral.
CGCUGGCGGAGGCGCACGGGGCCCAGCGGCGCUGCAGGGGCUUUUGUCCCGGAGGUGCCCGUUGGGCUCCCGAGCCAUCUGCAGACACCUCUCCGCCGCCCCAGGCGGCUUCUAACUGGCUCUCUGGUCACUUGCCCGCUUGACCUUUGGGGAAUUGGAAGAAAACCUGGGACAGUGGCUGGCAAGGCGGCUCUUGGAGCGCAUUCCAGAGGGUCCGAGGGUCCCGUGUGCCCAGUUCCCUGCACGCCCGGGGGCUCCAUCGGCCUGCAGCACAAGACUUCACUGACUCCUGCUUGACCACCAGCCGGUAGCCAAAUGGGAGACCCGGACAGAAACCCUCAGGGCCAUUUCCGAGAAGGACACCCGCGCGGCCCGGGUGGGCGCCCCGUCUUUGUGCCCCUGGCACCAGUCUAAAAAGACCAAACUUCAGGACCGUGGUUUCUGGGUUGCCGGGAAGACUCUAGGAGGCGGAGCUCUGAAUAAGGGCCCUCUAGGAGGAAAGGAAAGGAUGGUGGAGGUCCCAGGGAGAAGAGGAGAGCAGGUGGAAGGGGGAGGAGGAGGCCUCCGUCAGGUCCAGCCCUGGCCGAGCCCCUCAUGCACGCGGGGUGCACACGCGGGAGGGGAACUGGCAGCUUCUCCUGAGUGCCCGCUGCCCGCAUUGAUGCCCUGGCCUGCCUCAGGGCCCUCCGCCUGACCCUCUCCUCUCCUGAUGUCUCUGGACUCCCCUUGCUCAGAGCACCUGUCCUUGUAGAUUCCCCAGGUGGACCCGGAUGGAGGAGGAGUGCCCUUCCACCCUGGUCUCUCCACAAAUUCCCCGUCCCACUUCCUGCUAGGCCCCAGUUUCCCCAUCUGCCCAGGAGGCUCCCAUAAUUUCUAAAUCCCUUUCCUGCUCUGACUUUUGAGAUAGUCAAACUGUCAGGGUUCUCAACCUUCCCUGACUUAGUCACUGAAACCGCCUGGGGACUCUUAAAAUAUUAUAGCUGUUCGCUGUCCCGGGUAAUUGGUCUGUGGCAGGGCAGCCGCAGUAAUUUUUUAAAGCUCCCCAGAUGGUUCUAAUGUGCAGCCAGGGUGAGGAACCUCUGGCAUCUGAUUCCUGCUAAGAGCUAUUUGCAUUCCCCCAGGAGACUGGGAUACCGACAGUCCCAGCUCAGCUUGUCUCUGAUGGUGGAGGAAGAGGCAGGGCCGAGGGCAAGGGCAGUCCGCCCAGAAGCUCCUGUGCCCAUGAGCCAGCCGUCCCCAGCCCUGGGGGAUAAUAAUCAGCCUGGAGCCGUGACAGGGGCUGUUUCCUCUCCAUGCUGCCCCUGAGCCCCUGCCUCUCCCUGCUCCCUGCCUGGCUGUCCCUCCACGCCCUGGCCCCUAUCCAGUGCCACCUGUGCUAAUGGCUUGGUGGAGGCAGUGGCCACCUGGGAUGGCCUUCCAGAUUCGGUCUCUCUCCCGGGCUUCUGUGUUUUCCUAAGAUUCCUACUUCCUCCUCCAAGGCAAGGUCCCUCUCUUCCUCUCUCAGGCCACAGCCUGAGUUGGCCACCAGAUCCCUCCUUCCUGUGGGCAGGAGGACCGAGUGGCCAAGUCCCAGGAGGGGACAUCCCCAAGAGUGGGCUUCCAUGGGCCACCUACAGAGCAUCCUCCUGUUUCCCGGGCCAGAGCCUGGCUCAGACCCUUCCUGGGAACUGUGAGAUUCUGCAGCUGUUAGAGGAGACAAGGGGAGGUGUGGGGGAAGAGCAGGCCCAGGACAGAGGGACCUGUUUCCUGUCCCAGCUUAGCCAUUAACCACCUGGUCGGGGACCUUGAACCCAGCACCUGUCUUUGGGUCUCAGUUUUGCUUUUCCCAUAAAAUGAGAGGCUCUCGAGUAUUCUUUUCAAUGCUGAUUGGCCGACUUCUGUGACUGUCUGAAGUCCAUCUGGGGACUUGGAUCUGGGGUCCAGAGAGGGCUAACUGACCUUCAGACAAAAGAUGGGAGCUGAAAUGGUGAUUCAUUCCCAGAUCAUCUGAGUACUGCUUACAUCCGAGACUGUGUUGUAGGUGCUGGGCAACCAAGUCCCUCCCUCCACAAGCUGACAGGGGGAGAUGCUGAGCCCUGGGUUUGGGGACCUUCAACCAUGUCCUCUACGUCCCAGCACAAGGAGGUGUUGGGGGAUCUCCAGUCGUGGGCUCUGAGGAGCCCAGAGAAUUGGCAGAGAAGGUGCCCAGUGGCAGGCUGGGUACAGGGAGGCAGAGGUGCAGGAAGGAGCUCCAAGCUGCCAAGAUUCAGAGAAAAGGGACAGCAGGGCCAGAAGCCAGCUCUGAACUAACCGAAGGCUUGAGGGUUAUAACAGGGAAAGGAGAGGAGAGGUCAGGUGAGCUGGGAGGGGUGAGGCGGGCAAAGGCACUGUGGCUCAGCCUGCAGAAUUGAUGGGCGAGCAUGACUUCUGUGGUUUGUUUCAUUAAACGCAUGUUUAUUUAUAAGUGAUGAUUAGAUCUUGCAUACCUACCCUACUUUUGCAGGCAAUUUAUUUAUACCUUUAUUUUAUUUAUUUAUUUUUAUGUGGUGCUGAGGAUCGAACCCAGCCCCUCACACAUGCUAGGCGAGGGCUUCACCGCUGAGCCACAACCCAGCCCUGCAGGCAAUUUUUAAGCAGCUUUAUCAGGUUUUAGUGGGCAUACAAUAAGUGCACGUUUCAACUGUACAAAAUUGAACGGAAUUCUGGUGACGUUCUAAGAAACCUUUGCCUGACCUCGGUCACAAACAUUUUCUCUUGUAGUUCUAGAAAUUUUAUAGUUUGGGUUUUACAUUUAAAUCUUGGCACAUCUUGAGUUAAUUGUUGAGUUUUAUUUGAGGUCCAAGCCUUGGUCCACUUCUCGCAUGGGGAUAUGAGAUUGUGCCUUUGCACAUGGUUGAAAUUCAGCUGACCACAUGUGUGAGGUCUGCUCUGGACUCCCCUGCUCCUCUUGUCCCUGGUCCGUCUUUGUCUGAACACUGCUGUCCUGAUGACUGACUUCACUUUAAGUCCUGAUGUCAGAUGGUGUUAACUUCCUCUCCAACGUUGCUUUGCAAAUUCUGGUCCUUUGUGUUUCUGUGAAGAUUUUAGAGUCACUUUGCCAGUUUCUGCAAAGGAGAAAAACCAGGCAUUUUCCUUGAGAUUGCCCUGAAUACACAGAUGAAUUUGGGACUAGCUAACAACAUUGUGUCUUCCCGGCUGGGAGGAUGGUAUGGCCUCCACUCCGGCCCUUCUCAUUUCUGUUCGCAGAGUCAAACAGUUUCCAGGCGAUGGUGAACACACUUUCAGAUUUAUUCCCAUUUCAUGAUUUUAGAUGCUAUUAUAACACACACACACACACACAUAGUACUGGGGAUUGAACCCAGGGACACUCGACCACUGAGCCACAUCCCCAGCCCUUUUUAU